RNAcentral lists this ribosomal RNA (500 nucleotides) under beta proteobacterium Mzo3. RNAcentral describes it as "bacterial SSU rRNA". It matches the Rfam family "Bacterial small subunit ribosomal RNA", at positions 378 to 872 of the family's 1533-position model. Lineage: Bacteria; Pseudomonadati; Pseudomonadota; Betaproteobacteria. The record is from RNAcentral.
AAACCCUGAUCCAGCAAUGCCGCGUGAGUGAAGAAGGCCUUCGGGUUGUAAAGCUCUUUUGUCAGGGAAGAAACACCGGCUCUAACACAGUCCGGGAAUGACGGUACCUGAAGAAUAAGCACCGGCUAACUACGUGCCAGCAGCCGCGGUAAUACGUAGGGUGCGAGCGUUAAUCGGAAUUACUGGGCGUAAAGCGUGCGCAGGCGGUUAUACAAGACAGGCGUGAAAUCCCCGGGCUUAACCUGGGAAUGGCGCCUGUGACUGUAUAGCUAGAGUGUGUCAGAGGGGGGUAGAAUUCCACGUGUAGCAGUGAAAUGCGUAGAUAUGUGGAGGAAUACCAAUGGCGAAGGCAGCCCCCUGGGAUAACACUGACGCUCAUGCACGAAAGCGUGGGGAGCAAACAGGAUUAGAUACCCUGGUAGUCCACGCCCUAAACGAUGCUGACUAGUUGUUCGGGAUUUACAUCCUGAGUAACGUAGCUAACGCGUGAAGUCAGCCGC